RNAcentral lists this ribosomal RNA (440 nucleotides) under uncultured bacterium. RNAcentral's name for it is "partial 16S ribosomal RNA". It matches the Rfam family "Bacterial small subunit ribosomal RNA", at positions 338 to 795 of the family's 1533-position model. The record is from RNAcentral.
CCUACGGGAGGCUGCAGUGGGGACUAUUGCACAAUGGGGGAAACCCUGAUGCAGCGACGCCGCGUGAGUGAAGAAGUAUUUCGGUAUGUAAAGCUCUAUCAGCAGGGAAGAAAAUGACGGUACCUGAAUAAGAAGCCCCGGCUAGCUCCGUGCCAGCCGCCGCGGUAAUACGUAGGGGGCAAGCGUUAUCCGGAUUUACUGGGUGUAAAGGGAGCGUAGCAGGCAGCGCAAGUCUGCUGUCAAAUGCCGGGGCUUAACCCCGGAACUGCUUUGGAAACUGUGCAGCUAGAGUGCAGGAGAGGUAAGUGGAAGUCCUAGUGUAGCGGUGAAAUGCGUAGAUAUUAGGAGGAACACCAGUGGCGAAGGCGGCUUACUGGACUGUAACUGACGUUGCGGCUCGAAAGCGUGGGGAGCAAACAGGAUUAGAUACCCCAGUAGUC